This is a long non-coding RNA of Oreochromis niloticus (Nile tilapia), 929 nucleotides long. RefSeq lists it as uncharacterized. The record is from RefSeq and is a predicted model, not a curated record. NCBI's taxonomy places the organism in Eukaryota, Metazoa, Chordata, Actinopteri, Cichliformes, Cichlidae. The transcript has 4 exons.
GUGUGUGUGUGUGUGUGUGUGUGCGUGCGUCUAUGUGGUAUGGAUGGACAUUUGACCUGACGCUGUACCUGGGCUACAGGGACAUUUCGACUUUUUGCUGUGUAUUCAUGUGUCCCCCUAAAACAUGAAUUGUAAAUGCAUUUUUAAGUGUCUAAAUAAUAAUUUUUUCUACUUCUUAUGAGGUCAUUAUUUAUCUUUUGACCUGUAUUUGCUUAAACUGUAGUGUAAAUUCAUUUAUUAAACUAUAAUUAAAAGAUUUUCUGAUUUUCUUAAAAGUCCACCUAUACCACUCACCUGAUUUUUGUGUAUUCCAGUUUAUUGCACAGCGACGUUUCGAGUUAGAGUGGAUGUGUGUAAGUACUACAAUUUAAUACACAUUUUCAAUACACAGGGCCAGAAGUCAUUGUGAUUGGUAGGCUAUAUAUAUAGGCGGUACCUACCGGAAACGAUUUCGCGCGCGUGCCCUUUAACAAGUACAUGUCGACGGCAAUACGAAGACUGAUUAAAAGCACAAAGGCAAUCAAAACGUACAGGAGAACAUGCGAAGGAGACGCAUUCCUCCACGGGAGGAUGCAGUCUGUCAUGUUUCUGCUGGAAGGGACAAACUGGGACUUGAUAUCCACUACAUAAAUGCCUUCAAAGGUCGGGGCAUUUUCACGACUGUUCCAUUCCAAAAAGGAGACUUCCUUUUGGAAUACAGAGGUAAACUCAUAACAAAAGAAGAAUGUGAGCGGAGACAGAGUUUAUCAUGACAGCCUGAAGGUGUUCAUGUUUGAAUUCAAGUUUGAUGGAAAACUCUGGUGUGUGGAUGCAUCUCAAGAAGAUGGGUCAUUAGGCAGACUUGUCAACGACAACCACAUCAGUCCAAGUGCUAAGAUGAAAAUAUUAAAUAUCAAUGGAAAGCCCCAUCUAUGCUUAUUUGCAAGCAG